Molecule: ribosomal RNA, 492 nt
Filed under: uncultured bacterium
Lineage: Bacteria
Description: partial 16S ribosomal RNA
Rfam family: Bacterial small subunit ribosomal RNA
Source: RNAcentral
AGUCAACGCUGGCGGUAGGCCUAACACAUGCAAGUCGAACGGCAGCACAGUAAGAGCUUGCUCUUACGGGUGGCGAGUGGCGGACGGGUGAGGAAUACAUCGGAGUCUACUUUUUCGUGGGGGAUAACGUAGGGAAACUUACGCUAAUACCGCAUACGACCUACGGGUGAAAGCAGGGGAUCUUCGGACCUUGCGCGAUUGAAUGAGCCGAUGUCGGAUUAGCUAGUUGGCGGGGUAAAGGCCCACCAAGGCGACGAUCCGUAGCUGGUCUGAGAGGAUGAUCAGCCACACUGGAACUGAGACACGGUCCAGACUCCUACGGGAGGCAGCAGUGGGGAAUAUUGGACAAUGGGCGCAAGCCUGAUCCAGCCAUACCGCGUGGGUGAAGGAGGCCUUCGGGUUGUAAAGCCCUUUUGUUGGGAAAGAAAAGCAGCAGGUUAAUACCCCGCUGUUCUGACGGUACCCAAAGAAUAAGCACCGGCUAACUUCGUG